CCUACGGGAGGCAGCAGUGGGGAAUAUUGGGCAAUGGAGGCAACUCUGACCCAGCAAUGCCGCGUGAAUGAUGAAGGUCUUCGGAUUGUAAAGUUCUUUAGUCAGGGAAGAAGUCAAUGACGGUACCUCAAGAAUAAGCUCCGGCUAACUACGUGCCAGCAGCCGCGGUAAUACGUAGGGAGCAAGCAUUGUUCGGAAUGACUGGGCGUAAAGGGUGCGUAGGCGGUUGUACAAGUUAGAUGGGAAAUGCCCAGGGCUCAACUGGGGUGCUGCUUCUAAAACUGUAUGACUUGAGUGCAGUAGAGGUAAGUGGAAUUCCUAGUGUAGCGGUGGAAUGCGUAGAUAGUAGGAGGAACACCAGAGGCGAAGGCGGCUAACUGGACUGCAACUGACGCUGAGGCACGAAAGUGUGGGGAGCAAACAGGAUUAGAUACCCUGGUAGUC
This 444-nucleotide ribosomal RNA is filed under the name uncultured bacterium. RNAcentral's name for it is "partial 16S ribosomal RNA". It matches the Rfam family "Bacterial small subunit ribosomal RNA", at positions 338 to 795 of the family's 1533-position model. The record is from RNAcentral.